GACGAACGCUGGCGGCGUGCUUAACACAUGCAAGUCGAACGGCAAGGCCCUGCUUUUGUUGGGUGCUCGAGUGGCGAACGGGUGUGUAACACGUGAGUAACCUGCCCUUGACUUUGGGAUAACUUCAGGAAACUGGGGCUAAUACCGGUUAUGAGCUCCUGCUGCAUGGUGGGGGUUGGAACGUUUCGGCGGUUGGGGAUGGACUCGCGGCUUAUCAGCUUGUUGGUGGGGUAGUGGCUUACCAAGGCUUUGACGGGUAGCCGGCCUGAGAGGGUGACCGGCGACAUGGGGACUGAGAUACGGACCAGACUCCUACGGGAGGCAGCAGUGGGGAAUAUUGCACAAUGGGCGGAAGCCUGAUGCAGCAACGCCGCGUGCGGGAUGACGGCCUGCGGGUUGUAAACCGCUUUCGCCUGUGACGAAGCGUGAGUGACGGUAAUGGGUAAAGAAGCACCGGCUAACUACGUG
RNAcentral lists this ribosomal RNA (468 nucleotides) under uncultured bacterium. Its description in RNAcentral is "partial 16S ribosomal RNA". It matches the Rfam family "Bacterial small subunit ribosomal RNA", at positions 28 to 507 of the family's 1533-position model. The record is from RNAcentral.